AGUGAACGCUGGCGGUAGGCCUAACACAUGCAAGUCGAACGGCAGCACAGUAAGAGCUUGCUCUUACGGGUGGCGAGUGGCGGACGGGUGAGGAAUACAUCGGAAUCUACUUUUUCGUGGGGGAUAACGUAGGGAAACUUACGCUAAUACCGCAUACGACCUACGGGUGAAAGCAGGGGAUCUUCGGACCUUGCGCGAUUGAAUGAGCCGAUGUCGGAUUAGCUAGUUGGCGGGGUAAAGGCCCACCAAGGCGACGAUCCGUAGCUGGUCUGAGAGGAUGAUCAGCCAAACUUGAACUUAGACACGGUCCAGGCUCCUACGGGAGGCCGCAGUGGGGAAUAUUGGACAAUGGGCGCAAGCCUGAUCCAGCCAUACCGCGUGGGUGAAGAAGGCCUUCGGGUUGUAAAGCCCUUUUGUUGGGAAAGAAAAGCAGCAGGUUAAUACCCCGCUGUUCUGACGGUACCCAAAGAAUAAGCACCGGCUAACUUCGUG
RNAcentral lists this ribosomal RNA (492 nucleotides) under uncultured bacterium. RNAcentral's name for it is "partial 16S ribosomal RNA". It matches the Rfam family "Bacterial small subunit ribosomal RNA", at positions 29 to 507 of the family's 1533-position model. The record is from RNAcentral.